CGAACGCUGGCGGCGUGCUUAACACAUGCAAGUCGAACGGGGAUAAGUGCAAAGGCUUCGGCCCGGAAGACUAAUCGAGUGGCGGACGGGUGAGUAACGCGUGAGCAACCUGUCCCAGACAGGGGGAUAACACUUGGAAACAGGUGCUAAUACCGCAUAAGACCACGGGGUCACAUGGCUCUGGGGUAAAAGGAGCAAUCCGGUUUGGGGUGGGCUCGCGUCCGAUUAGAUAGUUGGUGAGGUAACGGCCCACCAAGUCGACGAUCGGUAGCCGACCUGAGAGGGUGAUCGGCCACAUUGGAACUGAGAGACGGUCCAAACUCCUACGGGAGGCAGCAGUGGGGAAUAUUGCACAAUGGAGGAAACUCUGAUGCAGCGACGCCGCCGUGAGUGAAGAAGUAUUUCGGUAUGUAAAGCUCUAUCAGCAGGGAAGAAAGGCUCGAAAGAGAGAUGACGGUACCUGACUAAGAAGCCCCGGCUAACUACGUGCCAGCCGCCGC
This 500-nucleotide ribosomal RNA is filed under the name uncultured bacterium. RNAcentral describes it as "bacterial SSU rRNA". It matches the Rfam family "Bacterial small subunit ribosomal RNA", at positions 30 to 518 of the family's 1533-position model. The record is from RNAcentral.